GACGUAGGGCGCGAGCGUUGUCCGGAUUUAUUGGGCGUAAAGAGCUCGUAGGCGGCUUGUCGCGUCGUCCGUGAAAACCUGCGGCUCAACUGCAGGCUGGCGGUCGAUACGGGCAGGCUGGAGUUCGGUAGGGGGAGACUGGAAUUCCUGGUGUAGCGGUGAAAUGCGCAGAUAUCAGGAGGAACACCGAUGGCGAAGGCAGGUCUCUGGGCAUUAACUGACGCUGAGGAGCGAAAGCAUGGGGGAGCGAACAGG
Molecule: ribosomal RNA, 255 nt
Filed under: uncultured bacterium
Lineage: Bacteria
Description: partial 16S ribosomal RNA
Rfam family: Bacterial small subunit ribosomal RNA
Source: RNAcentral